GUCUCCUUCCUGCAGUGGCGUUCUUUGUUGAAGCUACUGCUGAAACGUCUACCAAGCCUUCCACAAAGGCCUCUGCCAACAAUGGGGCAAAGCAGCGAGCUGAAUAGGGCUAAGCGGGCCAUGUUCUACAAGUAGAGCAGAUCUUGUCGGAGGAAUGAUGUCUUUCUUCCGAUACAACGCAGCAGGUCGCUUCUCCAAGGGACACAAAUGGAGCCCACAAGCGAGCAUGUACUGGUAAUGCUGCAGACAGUUGUCUUCAGACUACAGCUUUUACGUACUGAGCUUCUUGUUGGGCAUCUUUCUGGAUGCUCAAGAAACGAAGCAAAUUGUUUGAUAAACAACCGUUGGAUUUUAUUGCCCAUCUGGGUAAAAUGUUAGGGUGGCAGUAGACAAAGACCGUACAUACGAUACGAGCAGGUGCAUUUCUGUCUCGAGUUGGCGAGGUUACAGUACAGCACAGUUUGAUACACUACAUGUCAA
RNAcentral lists this unclassified non-coding RNA (480 nucleotides) under Yarrowia lipolytica. Lineage: Eukaryota; Fungi; Ascomycota; Dipodascomycetes; Dipodascales. The record is from RNAcentral.